RNAcentral lists this ribosomal RNA (637 nucleotides) under uncultured bacterium. Its description in RNAcentral is "bacterial SSU rRNA". It matches the Rfam family "Bacterial small subunit ribosomal RNA", at positions 61 to 699 of the family's 1533-position model. The record is from RNAcentral.
GUCGAGGGGUAUAGUUCUUCGGAAUUAGAGACCGGCGCACGGGUGCGUAACGCGUAUGCAAUCUACCUUUCACAGAGGGAUAGCCCAGAUAAAUUUGGAUUAAUACCUCAUAGUAUAACGACUCCGCAUGGAGAUGUUAUUAAAGUCACAACGGUGAAAGAUGAGCAUGCGUCCCAUUAGCUAGUUGGUAAGGUAACGGCUUACCAAGGCUACGAUGGGUAGGGGUCCUGAGAGGGAGAUCCCCCACACUGGUACUGAGACACGGACCAGACUCCUACGGGAGGCAGCAGUGAGGAAUAUUGGACAAUGGGCGCAAGCCUGAUCCAGCCAUGCCGCGUGCAGGAUGACGGUCCUAUGGAUUGUAAACUGCUUUUGCACAGGAAGAAACAACGCUACGUGUAGCGUCUUGACGGUACUGUGAGAAUAAGGAUCGGCUAACUCCGUGCCAGCAGCCGCGGUAAUACGGAGGAUCCAAGCGUUAUCCGGAAUCAUUGGGUUUAAAGGGUCCGUAGGCGGUUUAGUAAGUCAGUGGUGAAAGCCCAUCGCUCAACGGUGGAACGGCCAUUGAUACUGCUAGACUUGAAUUAUUAGGAAGUAACUAGAAUAUGUAGUGUAGCGGUGAAAUGCUUAGAGAUUA